This is a long non-coding RNA of Solenopsis invicta (red fire ant), 2910 nucleotides long. RefSeq lists it as uncharacterized. The record is from RefSeq and is a predicted model, not a curated record. The transcript is spliced from 2 exons. NCBI's taxonomy places the organism in Eukaryota, Metazoa, Arthropoda, Insecta, Hymenoptera, Formicidae.
CGUCGGAAUCGUCAUACGUGAUCUUGAAAUAUUUUUUCAAUGGAUAGUCGUAUGGCAAACUCUCAAUCUUAUAAUGCAUGCACGUUUUGAUACAACGAAACAUCUUUUUUAGAAAAAUACCAUGCUGGACGUAUUUUUCUUGAAUAGAUGAUUUAAGAGGAAUAUAUAUGGAGAUGACUGUAUCUAGCAAUGCUUGAACAUAUUCUAGUAGUUGCUGUGAAUAUUUCGUUAUAUCUUUAUAUGACAACGUAUCUAAAUGCAGACACUGACAUUUAUAAUAUAUCUUAGAGAUCAAAAGAAAAAUAAGACGUUUUGCCCGAGAUAUCUCCAACUCGUUUAUACAUCUGAUCGUUAUUAUGAGCACUUCCAUGCAUAGAUAUAAUGGUAAGUGCAUGAGUGAUUCAAUCAUUAGAUCCUCGCAUUUUAUAUGCCAUAUUAUCUAUAUUAUAAACAAUUGCAAUAGAACGUCAAUAUUCACUAUAUCUAUAGCAAAAUCAAUAAACUACUAUUAUUAGUAAUACAAGAAUUACCUGUAUGAAGAGAUAUGGUGAUAGAGUAGGCCACGAAUUACCUAUAUGACUAUUUUCCAUAUUCCGCAUGACAAAGAGCCGCGAAAAAAAGUUAGUAUUCAACAGAAUAUAAUUGUAACUCUUAAUAAUGUCCUUUGUAAUGCAGUUGCUUGGUUUAGAAGUAUCUUCGUCAAAGAAUAACGUAAUCUCGUACAAGUUGAUUGUCUUGUAAUAUUUUCAAUGGCUUUUAAUAGCUGGUUGAUAAAAUACGAAGUCUCUGUAGUUCGAAAAGAAAUAUUCUUUAAUUGGUGUCCAUAUUCCUGCUCUUUUUCACAUAAAAGUCUUUGCAUUUGCUUUGAAAACUUUACUUGAUUUGGCGAAUCCAACUCUGGUGAGUUCUUGAACAGAUAAAAUGGACUAUGUGUCUUGUGGACCUAUAAAUUGCUGCAGGCAUUGAAGCAAAUGCUCGUUUGUACAUAAAUAUUCACUAGGACCUAUCCACAUUAAAAUUGGUUCAUCGAUAAAAAACAUUUUAAGGAAAAUACCAUGCUGCACGUAUUUUUCUUGAAUAGAUGAUUUAAGAGGAAUAUAUAUGGAGAUGACCGUAUCUAGCAAUCCUAUUUCAUAAACUCCAUAAAGGAAAUGGCAUUCGGUGAUGAAGGCGUGCUGUAGCGAAAUCGGAAUAAUCUCCUCAUCAUUGACCUUCUCAUCAGUGACCUCCGUCCAAGCCUCGAAAUAAUCAAUCUUCUUGAUUUCAUUGAGAAGUAAGGUAACUAAUGCCUGAUCCAGUUUUGCCAUAAUAGAUUUCACUAUACAAUAUUAAGAAAAAUGAGUAAAAAUUAAUAAGACACUAUAAGAGCUGGCACCUAUCCACAUUAAAAUUUGUUUAUAGAAAAACAAAAAUAAUAAAUAGGGAUAACAUUGGUAUUCUACUAGAAUAUCUUCAAUAUAAACUUGCACUGCCGGAUUACGAAGAUAAAAAGGAAGCGUAUACGUUAAUAUCGUAUGUGUUAAAAGAGCAAAAGCUAUCAGAUCUGUUCUAUAUUGUACUAUGGUAUACAUUACGUCAUUUUAACGACAAUCUUUUAAAAUGUAUGUUCGAAAAUGAAAAAUUCAAGAGCUUUAUAGAAGACGAUAAAAACAUAAAAAAUUAUUAUACUAUUUUAAACUAUGUUCUAUUGCACCCGAAGAAGGUAUUAAGCAUUUUGGUGAGAGACCAAAUAAGUAGUACUCAGAUGAAAUAUAAAAAUGUCGUGUUAAAAAAUCUUGAGUUCCAUUAUUUACGUUCAUUUUUUAUGUCACAAUUAAAUAAUCAAUAUAACAUGCUGACGUAUUUUAUGAAUGACGCUUGGAAUUGUAAUCACUCUACAUGGAACAACGUGCAAUUUGAAAUUUUUAUGAAUGACAUACUUCAGAGUGAGGUAAAUGAGAUAAACAUAAUAGCUAAUUUUUAUCAACUUUAUCGUUUAAAUAAAAAUUUAUGUUAUUUUUUAAAAUUCUUUAUGCGUUAAAAUAUAUAUCAAUUCUAAUUUUUUUCUUUCUUUUUUAUGUUAGAGUAGAUCUAUAUAGUAAACUGUUUUCGAAAAGAUGAAUUUCGUGGCAAAAUUAUUCAGCUUUCUAAAGUUUUGCAGUUGAAACACAUGCAUGCAAUAAUGAUAUUAAAAAUUUAGCACGUAUAUUUGUUUUAAUUAUGAAACAUUAAGCAAUUUUCUUUCAUUAAACUCUUUUUAGUGACAUUUAUUUAUAACAAUUUAUGUUUUGUAUUUAUUAUUACUUUAUAGCUAAUCUGUUUAGUCAAUAUUUUGUUAGUAUAUUUAAGUAAAAUUAUUUGUGAGGAGACGAGAAUGGAGAGUGAAGAUUGUGAGGAGAUUGAUGGGCAAUGUUCAGAGCUGCGUGGAGAUGCGAUGCGUUAUACCGAAUUCGGUUGGACUGCACCAGUGUGCACUGGUGCACAUUAAAGUCAACGUACAUGAAUUGAUGUAAGAUGUGUGUUCAGUAUAAAUAUAUAAACAGAUUAAAUUAUGAAAUCUUCAGUACUCUUUUAUGUUAUUUGAUAAAAUACAAGUAUUUAAAAUUUCUUCAGUCGAGAUAUUUGCAGUUUAUUUUUAUACUAGAUCAAUGUACAAACAGCUUUAAUAUGCACUAGUGCACACUAGUGCAUCCGACCGAAUUCGCUAUUAGAGAAAGGAAGCGAAAAGUUGCGUAGUGAUAGAAGCGAAAAUUGCGAGAGAUUAGGAGGCGAGAUACGGCAAAAGAAAAGGCGUGAGAUAACUGGAGUGCGUAACUUGCGAGAGGGUGCGUUGGAUGGAGCGGCGUGCGUUGCGUUAGAUUAAGUCACAGAUAUUGUAAGAGCGGACUGUAUGUAUAAACCCGAGGGGAGAAAUAAACUAUCUAAAUAAAA